Molecule: long non-coding RNA, 213 nt
Filed under: Brassica napus (rape)
Lineage: Eukaryota; Viridiplantae; Streptophyta; Magnoliopsida; Brassicales; Brassicaceae
Description: long non-coding RNA (BNAP_LNC026286)
Source: RNAcentral
UAGUGUUUAGUUUUUUUUAUUUAGAGUUUAGGAUUUAUCCAAGGGUUUAGGGUUUACCCAAAGGUUUAGGGUUUACCCAAAGGUUUAGGGUUUACCCAAUGGUUUAGGGUUUAGGAUUUAUGGUUUAGGGUUUAGGAUUUAUGGUUUAGGGUUUAGGGAUUAGGAUUUAGGGUUUAGUGUUUUGCAGACGACGUUAAAUUUUUUUUUUGUAAU